Non-coding RNA from Tympanuchus pallidicinctus (lesser prairie-chicken), 1016 nucleotides. The record is from the annotation of a RefSeq genome assembly. NCBI's taxonomy places the organism in Eukaryota, Metazoa, Chordata, Aves, Galliformes, Phasianidae.
CGCUCCGCUGGCGUCCGCCUCCCGGGCAGACGGCGGCGGCGCGGCGGGGCGCGAUGGCGGCCGGGCUGGGGCCGUGGCUGCUGGCCUUGGCCUUGGGGCCGGCGGGAGUGUGCACACAGUACCAGCUGGUAGAGUCUGGUGGAGAUGUGCGAGCAUCUGGGGACUCUGUGUCCCUGUUCUGCCAGGCAUCUGGAUUCAGCUUCAGCGUCUAUGACAUACGCUGGUACCGUCAGACCCCCAGAGGCAUUCCUGAGUGGGUGUCCUUCAUCGGCAGCCAGGCUGGCACUACAAAGAAAUAUGGGACAGCUGUGGAAGGUCGAGCCACCGUCUCCCGGAACAACUCCCAAGCCAUGGCAUCUCUCUCCCUUCACCGCUUGCAUCCAGGGGACUCAGCCCGCUACUUCUGCAGCAUUGCACUGUGACAGGAAAUCCAGCUGAUGGUUAACAAAAAACCCUACCAGGAAGACAUGGACUGGAGUGCGUCUGUAGGGCUACUGAGAGCUGUGGCAGCUUUGGGCUGCUUCCACGAGGUGAGGAGACAUCACCGCACACCGCAGACAGCCCUGUCCUUUCUGCAACAGUUCUCUUCCUUUUACCACUCAUCCUGACUGACUCUCAAAAGCAGUAUUUUGAGCUGAGGAAGAUGCUCAGUGUAUUUCUUGUCACCAAAUCAGCUUGGCCACUCUUCCUGCCUGCAGACCCUCUCUGCCUGCCCUUUGUCCCCUUCUUCCCUUUGACUCAGGCUUCAGAAGCAGCAUUGCCUGUUUGCAUUGACACUCCCACCACCAAUCCAGCCCUCAGCCGUUUCCAGGAGCACAAAAAAGAAACAGCAAUGGAUGAACAGCCCAGCUGUGGCUUGAUGUGCAUUUCAGGUUAAUGGGAUCCAAGCAGCAAGGCCUGCAGUGUGAGAGCAAGCAAGGCACACAUAGACCCUGUAAUGUACUUACAGCUCCAAUGCUUCCUAUAUUUAUUUAUGUGGCCUGGUACCAGAAACAUCUCAGCAGGCCUCUCCAGAC